CAACGCAUGAUUCAUGCUUCCUUCUCUUUCUUCUUCUUCACUGCACAGCAAGAAUACCACUUUUCGCUGCUUUCUCUUUGCUCUCUUCCACUUUAUUUUAUUGGGAAACAGUCGUAGGUAGAAUCUCUUACUUCCUUUUCACUUUUCCAAGUCCUUCUCAAAAGUCAACCCUCCAUGCUUCUCUCGGAUUUCUUGUUCAUCGUUGCUUCCACUCACUGGUUUCCAAACACUCUUUUCCCUGCUUUUUACUUUCUUUACUUUUUUCCUGCCUGCUUUUCAUCACGAAAAUUAUAUUUAAUUUAAUUCGCCUUGUUUUUGUUUGUUUCUGGUGGUUUUCUUAUCUUCAUUCGUUUCUGCUUUAGUUUUUGCUACUCUUUUGAGAGGACAGAGUGGUGAGCUAUGAUUACUUAGUGCCCUCUGAUCUGGGUCUUUUUAUGAUUCAACCUUCAUGCCAUUACAAGUUCUGAAGUUAUUAGUCGUGUGGGUAAAUUCUGGAUUUUUGAAAUAAUUCUUUUGGAUUUCUAAUCAAUUUGUUCCAACAGCUUGUAAACCUUCACAACGUAACAACUGAUGUAAGACGAGAUUGGCUUUUGCAUAAAAGGACUCUGCAACCCUGCAUGGACCACCUGAGCUGAUAUCUGGAUCUUCUUUAUUUAAAUUGCUGUCUAUACAGUAUGAGGUUUUGUAAUCUCAGAACCUUUUUUCAUUAUUGGAAUUGAAGAUUAAGGAAAUGGAGAAGGUUUGUGAGUUCUGCACGGCCCUGAGGCCACUUGUUUACUGUAAAGCUGAUUCGGCAUAUCUUUGUCUAUCCUGUGAUGCGAAGGUGCAUUUGGCAAAUGCUUUGUCCGGCCGGCACCUCCGGAACCUUGUGUGUAACUCAUGUGGACAUCAUGCUGCUUAUGUUGUAUGUUUGAACCACAAAAUGUUAAUCUGUCGAGACUGUGAUAAAAAAUUGCACAAUGUUUCUUUAUCACACCAGAAACGAGCUAUCAGAAGUUUCAUAGGUUGCCCUUCUGCUAAAGACUUUGCAGCACUCUGGGGGUUUGAAUUGAAUGAGAUUGAAAACUGUGCUAGUCAGGAUCAGUAUGAUUCAGUUUCUUGUGUUUCUGCAGAAUUGAAUGUAGCACAAGUCUCAGGAAAGCCUGACAUUCAAACUGGGGUCCCUUCAUUGCUAGCUGGGGCCAAACUUGAUGAGGGAUCGACCAGUCAACAAGGUCAGAUAUUGCACAAUCAUCAAGAGCGUCAAACUAUUGUGCAGCAGAUUAUUGAUCUAAAAUGGCUCCAACAAAAUGAGGAGAUUGAUUAUUCUGCGAAGAUCAGUAGGCUAAAAGAAAAAAAAUCAUCACCUUCAUUAUAUAACACUCUUAAGAAAUUGGACGAAAAAAUCAAUGGUCAAGCACAAAAUUCCCAGGAUUUGGCUACUAAUGUUCUGGAAAAAGACCGUCCUAUCGUGGAGCCGAGCACAGAAACUUUGCCUUCUACUUUUUCUCAACUUGAUAAUUUAUCUUCAUCUUCAAUUAUCGAUCUUCCCUUGCAUGGAGAAUUGUUCUGGACCUGCAAAAGUCCUCUUCGAAGUAAUCAGCUAUGGUCCCAAAAUAUUCAAGACCUCGGUAUAUGUGAAGAACUUGUUCGUCUAGAUGAUUUUAACAUCCCUGAUGUUGACUUAACUUUCCAGAACUUUGAUGAAUUAUUUGGAGGAGAUCAGGAUCCAAUUAGAAUAUUGUUUGAUGAUCAAGAUGUCUCUUGCUCUUCUUUAGAGAAGGAUAAGUCAGUCGGCAAGUCAGAUAUUGACAAUCUAAGUGCAAUGGAGGAUUCUUCGGCUUCUGCAUCCAUUAAUCUCUUCCAAUCUGAUCAUGAGAACAAGGAUAUGAACCCUCUCGUCCAGUACUGUCCAAAAAGCAUUGAUCCUACUCAUGCAACUCAACCAUUUGAUUCAACUAUACCCUUAUCUGUUUUGGGAAUCAGUCUGGAAAGCAGUUUCACACAUGAGGACAGUAUCCUUUCUCCCUACAGUGAAGGGAAGGCUUAUUCAGGUAGUUAAAUUGAAUUGAAGAUUGCACAUGUGGAGCCUAAAGGAAAUGUCAUAUGCAGUAUAAAGAGAAAAGGUCUCAAUUGCAUGAGAAGCAAUUUCGACUUCUAUCCAGGAAACCUGGAGCUAAUGUAAGAAAGAGAGUGAAAGGCAUUGCUAUGACAGAAAGUUUUGACUUUUGCAUAUUCUUGCCGUAGAUAUCUCUCUCUCUUCCAGAUUGUUCCUCAUCAUGAAGCAUUUGUUCACUUGAUAAAUUGACUCACUUACAUUUUUUCUGUUCAUAAUAUAUUGUAAAAGCCAUCAUGAUAUGUACUGCUUAUUCAGAAAUAUAUUGUUAAUCUAUGUGUAUGUAAAUACGAACAAAUUCUUCCCAAAUUUGAGUUUCCUCCCUGUUAGAAGUCUAAUAUCUUGACAACUCAAUUCCUAGAUGGUGUUGUAUAACAUACACUCAAUACCAUGGACAUUAUAUACAGCGGGAAAAAACUCUACAGACAGG
Molecule: RNA transcript, 2525 nt
Organism: Vigna radiata var. radiata (mung bean)
Lineage: Eukaryota; Viridiplantae; Streptophyta; Magnoliopsida; Fabales; Fabaceae
Gene name: putative zinc finger protein At1g68190
Exons: 6
Source: RefSeq, a predicted model, not a curated record